CUCAAUAAGCGUCGCUCUGAGGCGCGUUUAAUCGGUGUCAACGAAGGACAGGCGAACGAUAAACAGUCUUGCGGUGGUUAUAUCGAUGACGUCGCUUCUAGAAACUCCUCCGAGUGCAUUUACUUCUCUGUUAACUACACGAUCCUCUACCAGAAACGUUUCUCCUCGAGCGUUCCUCUUCCUCGACGAAUUUAUCAAAUUUAUCGGCGAAUCUCGAAAGAAUCGAACCUUUCGGUGACCUCUUCCGGUAUCUUGCCCUUCUAUCCGAACUCUGAACUCUGUUCGUGGAUCGUUCGUGAACUAUAGCAAGGUUCGAAGGAUCGGAGGCUGGAUCACGAGACGAAUCGCGUUAUCGAUCCCUCGGAAUCGACAAUGGCGACGAGGAGGGAUCGGUUGCAGAGCGGAGGAAGCGAAUCGAGGGAUUUUCGCGAGACCCCAGACACGGCGGACAAAGAGGUUCUCGAGCGUGCAGCCCGGCUGCCGGUCGCGAAUGGACUGGUUGCACGUUUGUUAAACACUAUAGUCGCGGCUGUACCGCGCGGACUCUAGCUGCACAGGCGCCUAUAGUCCCGGCUGGUUACGCCGACUGGAUCGUCCUGUGUUCUCUCGGCGACUUUUCGAGCACGCCGUGGCUGUCUCUCCGCGGCGUGGCCACGUGUGCUUCAACAGUGUGCAAGGGGACUCUGCACUCGCAUCGAGAGUGCGCACACCGGGGCUGGGAGAACUGGCUGCCGGCACGUAGGCACCGGGAAACGCGGGACGCCUACUUGCAGGGUACUGGGUGGGGGUGAUAAUUUCGUGAGGCACCCGGUCGACCAACCGAAGAACGGUCCUUCUUCGACGGCAUCGAGAUAUGUGUGGGGCCACGUCCGUAGGGUUUUCGUUGUAGGGAAGAUUGCGAUCG
This 904-nucleotide unclassified non-coding RNA is filed under the name Bombus terrestris (buff-tailed bumblebee). Its description in RNAcentral is "misc RNA ENSBTSG00005023773.1". Lineage: Eukaryota; Metazoa; Arthropoda; Insecta; Hymenoptera; Apidae. The record is from RNAcentral.